UGGGGAAUCUUGCACAAUGGGCGCAAGCCUGAUGCAGCCAUGCCGCGUGAAUGAUGAAGGCCUUAGGGUUGUAAAAUUCUUUCGCCAGGGAUGAUAAUGACAGUACCUGGUAAAGAAACCCCGGCUAACUCCGUGCCAGCAGCCGCGGUAAUACGGAGGGGGUUAGCGUUGUUCGGAAUUACUGGGCGUAAAGCGCGCGUAGGCGGAUUAGAAAGUUAGAGGUGAAAUCCCGGGGCUCAACCCCGGAACUGCCUUUAAAACUCCUAGUCUUGAGUUCGAGAGAGGUGAGUGGAAUUCCGAGUGUAGAGGUGAAAUUCGUAGAUAUUCGGAGGAACACCAGUGGCGAAGGCGGCUCACUGGCUCGAUACUGACGCUGAGGUGCGAAAGUGUGGGGAGCAAACAGGAUUAGAUACCCCCGUAGUCC
Molecule: ribosomal RNA, 424 nt
Filed under: uncultured prokaryote
Description: bacterial SSU rRNA
Rfam family: Bacterial small subunit ribosomal RNA
Source: RNAcentral